This 506-nucleotide ribosomal RNA is filed under the name uncultured bacterium. RNAcentral's name for it is "partial 16S ribosomal RNA". It matches the Rfam family "Bacterial small subunit ribosomal RNA", at positions 29 to 523 of the family's 1533-position model. The record is from RNAcentral.
AGUGAACGCUGGCGGUAGGCCUAACACAUGCAAGUCGAACGGCAGCACAGGAGAGCUUGCUCUCUGGGUGGCGAGUGGCGGACGGGUGAGGAAUACAUCGGAAUCUACUCUGUCGUGGGGGAUAACGUAGGGAAACUUACGCUAAUACCGCAUACGACCUACGGGUGAAAGCAGGGGACCUUCGGGCCUUGCGCGAUUGAAUGAGCCGAUGUCGGGUUAGCUAGUCGGCGGGGUAAAGGCCCACCAAGGCGACGAUCCGUAGCUGGUCUGAGAGGAUGAUCAGCCACACUGGAACUGAGACACGGUCCAGACUCCUACGGGAGGCAGCAGUGGGGAAUAUUGGACAAUGGGCGCAAGCCUGAUCCAGCCAUACCGCGUGGGUGAAGAAGGCCUUCGGGUUGUAAGGCCCUUUUGUUGGGAAAGAAAUCCAGCUGGCUAAUACCCGGUUGGGAUGACGGUACCCAAAGAAUAAGCACCGGCUAACUUCGUGCCAGCCGCCGCAGUAA